CGAAAGCCUGACGGAGCAACGCCGCGUGAGGGAUGAAGGCCUCUGGGCUGUAAACCUCUUUUAUCAAGGAAGAAGAUCUGACGGUACUUGAUGAAUAAGCCACGGCUAAUUCCGUGCCAGCAGCCGCGGUAAUACGGGAGUGGCAAGCGUUAUCCGGAAUUAUUGGGCGUAAAGCGUCCGCAGGCGGCCUUGUAAGUCUGUCGUCAAAGCGUGGAGCUUAACACCAUUUAAGCGAUGGAAACUGCAAGGCUAGAGUGUGGUAGGGGCAGAGGGAAUUCCCGGUGUAGCGGUGAAACGCGUAGAUAUCGGGAAGAACACCAGUGGCGAAGGCGCUCUGCUGGGCCAUAACUGACGCUCAUGGACGAAAGCCAGGGGAGCG
Molecule: ribosomal RNA, 379 nt
Filed under: uncultured cyanobacterium
Lineage: Bacteria; Bacillati; Cyanobacteriota
Description: bacterial SSU rRNA
Rfam family: Bacterial small subunit ribosomal RNA
Source: RNAcentral